Pseudopipra pipra is the source of this 291-nucleotide long non-coding RNA. RefSeq lists it as uncharacterized. Lineage: Eukaryota; Metazoa; Chordata; Aves; Passeriformes; Pipridae. The record is from RefSeq and is a predicted model, not a curated record. The transcript has 3 exons.
ACUAGUUGGGGGAGUCAGGUGCCCUGAAACAGAGGGCUUCUGUGGAAGCCAGUGAUUGUACUGCUCCAAAUGAGUAACCAGCUGCAGGCUAAUUACUGCAUAACACUUUUCUAAUAUUAGAGCCUUUUUUAGACAUCUUAGUUGUAAUUUAUGCACUGGAACUAAAGGGAACCUUCAGCUAAGACAGAUAGUAGUGCAGACACUUCAUCACUUCUGUAUUGAGGUUUACUUAUCUUACCAGUGUUAAAUGUGUUCAGGAAGCUUACUCGUCCAAUAUUUUUCUUGCUGUCU